ACGAACGCUGGCGGCGUGCUUAACACAUGCAAGUCGAACGCUGAAGCUCAGCUUUUGUUGGGUGGAUGAGUGGCGAACGGGUGAGUAACACGUGAGUAACCUGCCCUCUUCUUUGGGAUAACGCCCUGAAACGGGUGCUAAUACUGGAUAUUCACUGAUCUUCGCAUGGGGGUUGGUGGAAAGGUUUGUUCUGGUGGGGGAUGGGCUCGCGGCCUAUCAGCUUGUUGGUGGGGUGAUGGCCUACCAAGGCUUUGACGGGUAGCCGGCCUGAGAGGGUGACCGGUCACAUUGGGACUGAGAUACGGCCCAGAAUCCUACGGGAGGCAGCAGUGGGGAAUAUUGCACAAUGGGCGAAAGCCUGAUGCAGCGACGCCGCGUGAGGGAUGGAGGCCUUCGGGUUGUAAACCUCUUUCGCUCAUGGUCAAGCCGCGACGUGGGUUGUGGUGAGGGUAGUGGGUAAAGAAGCGCCGGCUAACUACGUG
RNAcentral lists this ribosomal RNA (482 nucleotides) under uncultured bacterium. RNAcentral describes it as "partial 16S ribosomal RNA". It matches the Rfam family "Bacterial small subunit ribosomal RNA", at positions 29 to 507 of the family's 1533-position model. The record is from RNAcentral.